UAUUCUGCAUAGAGAAAUACAACGAGUUGCUUUUUCUUUAAACCGACGGUGGUAGAAACCAAAGUAAAUUAAUAAAGUAGCGACAGUACUACAACAAAUACAACAUUUACAAAAACCACAAGCAAUUUUGUUUUUGGUUUAAGGUCUGAGCUGUCAAAGUUGCCUGUUGUUGUUUUUGCUUUUGGGCUUGUUGUAUUUUUCGCCACAACAACCACAAGUGAAUUGACAGUUCAGACCAAAGUAAAAAAAAUAGUCAGCUGUUCUACUGAGUCUACUUUAUUAAUUUACUUUGGUAGAAACAAAUUUGUUUGGUUUUUCUAUCUGUGCUUCGAGAUCGACUUCGAACUCUUGUUGUAUUUGAUUGUUCUACAUCGUUUGGGAGCUUCUUUAACCAAAGUGAAAAGAGUACCUCAUCUGUAAUUUGAUUAAAAGCCAAUUCAAGGCGAAUUUACUGUACAGGUGGCGUUGAUAUUACAACAAGUACAACAUUGCAAAAACAACAUUGUAUUUUAUUGUUGCUUGGGUGGCAAUGUGUCAAAAGCAGCAGAUUAAAACAAAACAAAAAUUUGUCAAACAAAUAAAAUAAAAAUCAAAAAUUUGUAAAUAGAAACAAAAAAAAUAAUUUAAUAAAAAAUAAAUUAAUGGUUGUUAUUCGCAUUUUUAAAAUGUUUUGCUGUGCAAAACAAGAGAACUCCAAAUGUGGAGUAUCUGCCGUGCUUUGCGUUUGAGUGAGUCGUAUGAUGAAUUUGGCCACUUUAUAUCCUGUGGCUACUUGUAUGGACUAGCUGAUGACAAUCCUUACAUGUAAGAUAAACGUAAACGUUUACAUCGUCACUUUGGUUUAAGCGUAAUUUAAGACAAAUUUACUGUACAGUAAAUAGGCUGGGGCUGUGUCUGUAGACGUUUGCAGAACAUAUACCUGGUGGCGGUGUUUUGGCUCAUACCAUUAACCCAUUGCUAAUUGAGUACAAUCGGGUGAAGUGAAAUUCCUUAUUUUAGAUCCCCACUACAAGAGUGAAGGGGCAAGAAAAUGUAUUAAUUACAAUUUGUGCAUGUUGUAAUGACCCAUUAUGUUUUAGACAAUAGUUUGUAUUAAAUAAGGUUUUUUAUUACAAGUAUUACAAGAAUGGUAUUAAUCAAUAUAUUGUAACUCAUUAUAUUUUAUAAUUUAUUCACUAGAAUAAAAUAAUAAAACGAUUUUGGACUUUCA
Long non-coding RNA from Calliphora vicina (urban bluebottle blowfly), 1210 nucleotides. RefSeq lists it as uncharacterized. The record is from RefSeq and is a predicted model, not a curated record. NCBI's taxonomy places the organism in Eukaryota, Metazoa, Arthropoda, Insecta, Diptera, Calliphoridae. The transcript is spliced from 3 exons.